This 1265-nucleotide long non-coding RNA is filed under the name Homo sapiens (human). RNAcentral's name for it is "HSALNT0254502". The record is from RNAcentral. Lineage: Eukaryota; Metazoa; Chordata; Mammalia; Primates; Hominidae.
CUGUCCUGCACUUGGUGCAUUCAUAUGGUUUUUCUCCAGCAGAAACUUUCUUGUGCAGGAACUGAUGAGAAAGAAAUGAGUUCAUUAAAAACCAAGGGAAGGAAUGAUGCCAUCCUCACCUACUGAGGCCAGGUUCCGGAAGGUCUCCAGCAUCACAUCUCUGUAGAGGUCCCUCUGAGCAGAAUCCAGCAAAGCCCACUCCUCCAGGGUGAAGUCCACAGCCACAUCCUCAAAGACCACUGAGUCCUAAGACAAACCACACAGGUGUGCAGGAGGAUUGGAGACACUGAAAGUACUGGGGAACUGGACUCAAUUCAUAAAUUCAAACAAGAUUCUGUGGUGUCCCAACACCUCCUCUAUGACGCGAAUGUUAGAUCUUUUACUUAUUCACAAUCACUUCCUAGUAAACUUCAUGGCACCACUAUCAGUCUGAACUUAUCUCUGCCUUUUUACUGCGACUGCUCUUAUUUUCCUCUACCAGGAGGGUCUAGAGAAAUGCUAUGCAAAUGAAGUAACUUUUCCAUUUGAAACGUUGCAUAACGCAGCAGGCCUCGGUUGUCCAAACGAUGCACAUUUCAUAGGACUUUCGGAAAAGCCUUCCACCAGCUACUGCAGAAAAUGGUAAGUCCUUGGAAUCCCCUGCCUGGUGAGGGGAUCUUUGUAUGGACGGGCCUGAGGCUGGCCAGGGAGUUUCUAACAAUGUGACUUAAGAAUUCCUGUCUUUGUCUGCCUGGAGCCCUAGGCAACAUUGUAUCCGUUUUCCCCCUUUAUUCCCCUUUAUUUUCUUAAAUUAUUUUAAAGGCAACUGUAUGAAUAUGUUUGGAAAGCACUGUUGGAUGUAUAACACAUAAGAAUACCUAUUUGCCAAUAACAGCACAGAGGAGGAGGGUGGGAGGGAGCAAAGGCAUAUUUAAGCAAAGGGACAUGACUACAGAUGGUAAAGUACUAAUUAAAACGCACUGUUUUGGCAUAUAAUAUUCAUGGAUGUAGCAUGUAUUCAUAUUGCCAUAGAAGUUGGAGGGGCAGGAAGGAAUAGAGCUACACACGCAGCAUUUCUGUAUCUCACUGGAAUCGAGCGAUGAAUAUAAACCCGAAGCUCAUCUGAUAAGCCUCGCAUUGACAAUACAGUAACCCCUAAAGAGACCAACAAACAGUAAAAAGUUAAACAACUGAAAGGUUUCAUUAGAAAAUACUUAAUGAAAAUGAAAGUAGUGGCCGGGUGCAGUGGCUCACGCCUGUAAUCCCAGCACUUUGGGAGGCCGAGG